Molecule: unclassified non-coding RNA, 284 nt
Filed under: Hevea brasiliensis (rubber tree)
Lineage: Eukaryota; Viridiplantae; Streptophyta; Magnoliopsida; Malpighiales; Euphorbiaceae
Source: RNAcentral
AAGUUGCACCCCUUGAUAUUAUACAAUUGCCACCCAACUUAGUGACACAAAAUCAGCUCUCCAGGCCUACAGCAAUUCGUGCUUGCUCUUCUGUGAGGUCGAGUGUUCCAAAUAUUAUAAGCCAGAGUAGAAACAGACAGCCAGGGUGUGCUCAGGGUAGAAAUAGACUUGUGCCUCGUUCUGUUUCACAGAAAGCAGUCAGUAUACAUAAUACUGCCAUUCCACAAGAUAGAGGCCAACAAUUUGUCUCCUCUGAUACAAUGUUUAAAAGGCCAGGAAUCAUC